This 253-nucleotide ribosomal RNA is filed under the name uncultured bacterium. RNAcentral's name for it is "partial 16S ribosomal RNA". It matches the Rfam family "Bacterial small subunit ribosomal RNA", at positions 524 to 776 of the family's 1533-position model. RNAcentral also lists the same sequence under 1 other name. The record is from RNAcentral.
UACGUAGGUGGCAAGCGUUGUCCGGAUUUAUUGGGCGUAAAGCGAGCGCAGGCGGAAUGAUAAGUCUGAUGUGAAAGCCCACGGCUCAACCGUGGAACUGCAUCGGAAACUGUCAUUCUUGAGUGCAGAAGAGGAGAGUGGAAUUCCAUGUGUAGCGGUGGAAUGCGUAGAUAUAUGGAAGAACACCAGUGGCGAAGGCGGCUCUCUGGUCUGCAACUGACGCUGAGGCUCGAAAGCAUGGGUAGCGAACAGG